RNAcentral lists this ribosomal RNA (557 nucleotides) under uncultured bacterium. RNAcentral describes it as "partial 16S ribosomal RNA". It matches the Rfam family "Bacterial small subunit ribosomal RNA", at positions 355 to 905 of the family's 1533-position model. The record is from RNAcentral.
UGGGGAAUUUUGGACAAUGGGGGCAACCCUGAUCCAGCAAUGCCGCGUGAGUGAAGAAGGCCUUCGGGUUGUAAAGCUCUUUUGUCUGGGAAGAAAUCCUUUGGGCUAAUACCUCGGAGGGAUGACGGUACCGGAAGAAUAAGCACCGGCUAACUACGUGCCAGCAGCCGCGGUAAUACGUAGGGUGCGAGCGUUAAUCGGAAUUACUGGGCGUAAAGCGUGCGCAGGCGGUUGUGCAAGACAGAGGUGAAAUCCCCGAGCUUAACUUGGGAACUGCCUUUGUGACUGCACGGCUAGAGUGUGUCAGAGGGGGGUAGAAUUCCACGUGUAGCAGUGAAAUGCGUAGAGAUGUGGAGGAAUACCGAUGGCGAAGGCAGCCCCCUGGGAUAACACUGACGCUCAUGCACGAAAGCGUGGGGAGCAAACAGGAUUAGAUACCCUGGUAGUCCACGCCCUAAACGAUGUCAACUAGUUGUCGGGUCUUAAUUGACUUGGUAACGCAGCUAACGCGUGAAGUUGACCGCCUGGGGAGUACGGUCGCAAGAUUAAAACUUAAA